RNAcentral lists this long non-coding RNA (784 nucleotides) under Homo sapiens (human). Its description in RNAcentral is "HSALNT0116528". Lineage: Eukaryota; Metazoa; Chordata; Mammalia; Primates; Hominidae. The record is from RNAcentral.
GUGGGAAACCGGACAGGUGCCGCAGAGGAAGAGCUCACCCACAUUUCACGGCUAUUUUCCCUGAUGUGCUCUGGGAGGGCGGAGUGCCGUGGGACUGGCGAGCGCCUCCCUUCCUGCCUGUCGGCAUGGACUUGCAACUGCAGGAGUGCAUGGACUGAAGGACCACACGCACUCACAGCAUGGCUGGGGCCUCCAGGGCCAGCUCCUCCAGCAGGACGGGUCCUCACUCAUUCCCGAGAAAUGAAACUAUUCUGAUAACGACUUUCCAAGAAAAAGUGCAAAAUCUUGCUUGAAUGAUUCACUUCCUUUCUUCCUGUGAUAGUUAAUUUUAUGUUAACUUGGCUGGGCCACAUGGCCUGUUGCUUGGCCAAAUCCCAGUCUAGAUGUUGCUGUGAAGGCAUUUUGUAGAUGAGGAUUAACGUUAGAUCCGUCAACUUUCAGGAAAGCAGAGACCCUGUCCACGGUGUGGCUGGGCCUCAUCCGAUCAGUGGACGACUUCAAGAGAAAAAGGCUGAGGUCCUCUAAGGAAGAAGAAAUCUGCUUCCCAACAGCCUUCAGGCUCAAGCUGCAACACCAGCUCUUCCCUGGGCCUCCAGCCUGCCCUGCCUGCCCUGCAGCUUUUCCACAUGCCAGCACAGUUGUGUGAGCCGGUUCCUUAAAAGCUGUCUCUCUAGAUACAUAUAGUCACAUACAGUGAGCCCUCCAUAUCCAUGGACUCCACAUCCCUGGAUUCAACCAGCCUUGUUGGAUUAAAAUAUUUAGAAAUAAAAUGUCUGCACUGAAC